GUGCAGUGAGGAAUAAUGAAGCUCAAAAAGAAGUACUGAAUUACGAACUUGCCUUGCCCUUCCUUUCCCUAUCCGCACCAGCUGGCUGCCACCUGAUGUGACCUUCCUUCUCGUCCUCUGCUGAUGUCCAGCUUCACCGUGGAGCAGCAUUGUCGACAAGAAAAGAUGGCAUCGGGCAUUUAUAAUAUGAAUGUUGCUCAUCAUUGCUUGCUGAAUGUAUGCUGGAGAGAGGAACAACUUAGAUCUGACUCUUAACCGCAGGCCUCUUAAUUUUGAUGUUGAAGAACAGCACCAAUGGGUUGUGAAGUGUAACCUGUCAGCGUUAUCUCUGCCACUGAAGUCAUCGGAGAUUUCUACUUCCUAGGAAGCCUGAAGUCAGAGAUGCUGUUAAAAGAGAGUUUGAGAAACAUGUAAGUAGGUAAGAAAUCUUACAUUGGCUUAAAAAAAAUUAACUUUUAUGUUUUUGUAUCAGCUGCAAUGAUUGUUAAUGUGUCCCCUUUUGGUUUAAAAAUCAGUGUCAACAGUUUUUUAUUGUUUUUUUUUUUUUUUUUUCUUCUACAAGUCCACCAUGUAUAACUCCUAUCCUGUCCUAAAUACAGUGCCUUAUAUCCUUGAGCCCAAAUGGGAAAAAUACGUGAUAGGUAAAAAGACUUGAGUCUCUCACUUGCCCAUUUCUUGUAAGUAAUCUACUUGUAUGCUUCUCUGUCAUACACAGGCUUUCUAAAAUCUCCAGGGCCAAAUAACCUUUUCCUGAUGUUAAAUAUUCAUAAAACUUCUGGGAACACUUUGCUAUUAAUGGGAACAUCACAAGCACAAGUGCAACUGAAAUGCCCUCUUGAAAACUAUUGCUUUCUAAGUGAUUUAGGGUUUG
RNAcentral lists this long non-coding RNA (871 nucleotides) under Anas platyrhynchos platyrhynchos (common mallard). Its description in RNAcentral is "lncRNA (ENSAPLG00000017422.1)". Lineage: Eukaryota; Metazoa; Chordata; Aves; Anseriformes; Anatidae. The record is from RNAcentral.